UCUAAUAUGGCAGAGCAGUGCUAUGGACUUAAACCCCAUAUACAAAGGUUGACCUUUUUUUAGAA
Molecule: transfer RNA, 65 nt
Filed under: Mylabris calida
Lineage: Eukaryota; Metazoa; Arthropoda; Insecta; Coleoptera; Meloidae
Also listed under: 1 other name
Description: tRNA-Leu
Rfam family: tRNA
About the family: Transfer RNA (tRNA) molecules are approximately 80 nucleotides in length. Their secondary structure includes four short double-helical elements and three loops (D, anti-codon, and T loops).
Source: RNAcentral